UGAGUUACAGAGUAAGGCCCUGUCUCA
This 27-nucleotide non-coding RNA is filed under the name Mus musculus (house mouse). The record is from RNAcentral. Lineage: Eukaryota; Metazoa; Chordata; Mammalia; Rodentia; Muridae. RNAcentral also lists the same sequence under 1 other name.